Molecule: ribosomal RNA, 497 nt
Filed under: uncultured bacterium
Lineage: Bacteria
Description: partial 16S ribosomal RNA
Rfam family: Bacterial small subunit ribosomal RNA
Source: RNAcentral
GAUGAACGCUGGCGGCGUGCCUAAUACAUGCAAGUCGAGCGAACAGACGAGGAGCUUGCUCCUCUGACGUUAGCGGCGGACGGGUGAGUAACACGUGGAUAACCUACCUAUAAGACUGGGAUAACUUCGGGAAACCGGAGCUAAUACCGGAUAAUCUAUUGCACCGCAUGGUUCAAUAGUGAAAGACGGUUUUGCUGUCACUUAUAGAUGGAUCCGCGCCGCAUUAGCUAGUUGGUAAGGUAACGGCUUACCAAGGCAAGGAUGCGUAGCCGACCUGAGAGGGCGAUCGGCCGCACUGGGAGGGAGACAGGGCCCAGACUCCUAGGGGAGGGAGCCGUAGGGAAACGUGCGCAAUGGGCGAAAGACUGACGGAGCAACGCCGCGUGAUGGAUGAAGGUCUUCGGAUCGGAAAACUCUGUUAUUAGGGAAGAACAAAUGUGUAAGUAACUAGGCACGUCUUGACGGUAACUAAUCAGAAAGCCACGGCUAACUACGUG